GAUGAACGCUGGCGGCGUGCCUAACACAUGCAAGUCGAGCGAAGCAUUUUAAAGGAAGUUUUCGGAUGGAAUUUGAAAUGACUGAGCGGCGGACGGGUGAGUAACGCGUGGGUAACCUGCCUCAUACAGGGGGAUAACAGUUAGAAAUGACUGCUAAUACCGCAUAAGCACACAGUACCGCAUGGUACAGUGUGAAAAACUCCGGUGGUAUGAGAUGGACCCGCGUCUGAUUAGCUGGUUGGCGGGGUAACGGCCCACCAAGGCGACGAUCAGUAGCCGACCUGAGAGGGUGACCGGCCACAUUGGGACUGAGACACGGCCCAAACUCCUACGGGAGGCAGCAGUGGGGAAUAUUGCACAAUGGGGGAAACCCUGAUGCAGCAACGCCGCGUGAGUGAAGAAGUAUUUCGGUAUGUAAAGCUCUAUCAGCAGGGAAGAAAGUGACGGUACCUGACUAAGAAGCCC
RNAcentral lists this ribosomal RNA (465 nucleotides) under uncultured bacterium. RNAcentral describes it as "bacterial SSU rRNA". It matches the Rfam family "Bacterial small subunit ribosomal RNA", at positions 28 to 493 of the family's 1533-position model. The record is from RNAcentral.